This is a long non-coding RNA of Monopterus albus (swamp eel), 980 nucleotides long. RefSeq lists it as uncharacterized. Lineage: Eukaryota; Metazoa; Chordata; Actinopteri; Synbranchiformes; Synbranchidae. The transcript has 3 exons. The record is from RefSeq and is a predicted model, not a curated record.
CUUUCCAGUGAGCUGGGUUUUCCUGGACUUUGGCCUCUUGGGUGCUGUAGUGUAACCAGUUAGUCCGGGUUAUCAAUCACAUUUAGCUGUGAUUUCUGUAGGUGAAGGAACAAUGAUUUUGUUUGUCUUCAGUGUGUUUAUCAUGUCCGCUGCUGGUCAGACAGAGCCUGUUGCAGAUCGAUCGUACGUUGCCGCCGUGUACGAGCACCACGUAAUCCUGAACCCGGAGCCACAUUCACCCGUGUCCCGCUCCGCUGCCCUGGAACACAUGCAGAAAAACCUGGAUGUCUACGAGGAGCAGGCUGCCCUUGCUGCUCAGCAGGUGGGAGUGGAUUUGACCUUUCCUCUGGAGGUGGAACAGUCCUUUUUGGGACCAUAGCCAGCUUGGACACACUGCUAGCAGAAGAUGGCCUGUCUGAUGACCACCUGCUGAUGUUCCACUUCAUCGACAUGAUCAUCGUGACUGCCUGGCUGCUCUACGAGACUGCUGCAGCAGCACUUGGAUGAGAAAAGAGGAACAGAAGAAGCUUCAUACGUUCAAGUCGUAUAUUGCAGAAAGCUUAUGCAAAAGUGACAAUAAUCUGGAGCAUAAGAGAGGUCGUCCCAGUUCCACAGUUGCUGGGGAGUAUGAAGAAAAGAGGAGAAGAGGACCCACUACAACCAUUCUGGUCCCUGAUGUGUGUCUGGACACCACAGCCCACUGGAUGGUCAUGGAUGAAAAGAAAGGGAGAUGCAAGGUACCUGGAUGCAAAGGCACACCUAAAGCCAAGUGCCAAAAAUGUGACGUCCACCUCUAUUUCACGUCCACCAGUAACUGCUUCCUGAGGUUCCAUACAGAAUAAUACAGACUGUGCUUUGUAAAAAAGAGAAGCAGUACCCCACAGGAACACACGUUCAGAAACACAAACACACACUGCAGCUAAUCUCUAACCCACUGACUGAUUAACAAUUUAUGGCUGAUGUUUAUUGAAAUAAAACUU